Molecule: long non-coding RNA, 296 nt
Organism: Spea bombifrons (plains spadefoot toad)
Lineage: Eukaryota; Metazoa; Chordata; Amphibia; Anura; Pelobatidae
Exons: 2
Source: RefSeq, a predicted model, not a curated record
UGAUGGAGCAUGCGCAGUGAGCUUCUGCUGGCCUUCCUUGUCAGUCAGGCUGUCAGGUGUGGAUUUACCUGUCAUGAGCAGGGGUGAGGUCAUCCAAGGUAUGAAGAUACGACGUGAGGUUACCUUGAGUUCUCAUGUAGAUCCUCCAUGGACGGUGCAGGUACCUGGCUGCCAUCUCCACAGGUAUCUUCAGGUAUCCAGAAAACACUUGAAAUGCCCCCCUCGGGGUUGUUUUUCUGCUCUGUAAGACUUCGUUGACCUGCCAAGCUGAGUAAAACUAUUUUAUUCCAUCCUUA